This is an RNA transcript of Episyrphus balteatus (marmalade hoverfly), 2118 nucleotides long. RefSeq lists it as uncharacterized. Lineage: Eukaryota; Metazoa; Arthropoda; Insecta; Diptera; Syrphidae. The transcript has 4 exons. The record is from RefSeq and is a predicted model, not a curated record.
CAGUUAUCGUUCAUGAUCGGAUUAAAGAAGACAUAGAUUUUGUGCUAAGAUUCUUUAUUGAAUAUUUUUCACUAAAUUCGGUAAUUCCAUAAAAAAACUUCGUGAAUCCUAGCUAAAUAAUAUAUUUUGCAGUUUAAAAUAAAAUUAUCUUAAAAAAAAUUAACUUUUUCCGCAAAGUAUCUAUAGCAAAAUAUUUUUGUAUCUUUGAUGAAAAUAAAACAGCAAUGAGUGAUGUAACGCUUGGGAAGAUAGAGUGUGGUGAAAUGCUAUAGUAAUAUGUUCGCAUAGAGGCUCCUAUGUUUUUUUAGUGUUUAUGUUUGGUUUGUUGUAUUUUUAUUUCAAAAACAAAACAAAAACAAACCCAAAAUAAAAAUAUAAGCUUUCGGUGCAAAGCAAAGCAUGGCUAAAAAAUGCGCGAUUCGUUCGCUCAGCGACAGUUCGUUGGCCGAAUUGGCAAACGUUAUAGUGUCAACAAUUGGAUACUCUAUGCAUGUUGACCUCGAUCGUGACAUUAGCAUAACAAUGGUUGAAAUAAAUUCAUAUCUAGAACUUGCUGGUGCUACUAGCAAUAUUUAUCAGGAUCUCUUGAGAGUAAUCCUUGGAUCUGAUUAUCUCGAAGCAUCGAUGAGAUUUACUUGUCUGCAAAUGCUCCUCAAUUGCGGUGUUCAAUUUUUAGUAACUGAAGUAUUUCCAUUUUCGUACUAUGAGAAAAUUUUACAAGUUAUAGCUGCACAAGGCACAGGACUGCGCACUUUGAACUUGAAAGGUAUUUGGGUAAAAGAGGAGCACAUGCACUAUAUGUUUGACAUAAUGAAGAAAUGUUCAUAUUUGACUAAACUUUAUAUUCCAUACAUUGCAAAUGAUGAAUUGCUUGAAGUGAUCGGGCGUACUUGUACGAAACUGCAGCUAAUUGAUAUUUCUGGUGAAACGGAUAUUACCGAAAUUGGUGUUGAAUAUCUUAGCAAAGGUGUUUCCUGCCAGCUACUGACUGUGGUCGAUGUUGGCAUGCCGGGCGAAGAAAAUAUUUGUUACUCGGACAUUGCAAUGAUUUUAGAACAUUGUCCAAAUGUACAAACACUAGCAACAUAUUCGUAUGUAGGGCCAGCGCUUAAAUUUAUAUAUGAUAACAUAGAUGAAGAUUUUAAAUGCAAACUUAAGUACCUACAUGAUACUGGAACAGAUACGGAUACUCUGCGAGUGAUUGUGAAAACUUGCCCAAAAUUGGAGUCACUUUAUCUAGAUACUCCGAAUAAGGGAAUUCUGCAUAUAUUGAAGAAUACAUUUUUGCGAAAAAUUAAAAUAUACAAAUUUCAAUGCAAGGAGCUUAUGAGUGCGUUGGAGAUAAUCGGGCGUAAUUUGAGUCAUUUGACAAUGAUCAAGGGAGAUGGUAAUCUUGAUAUUGGAAAACUAACAUGGAUUUGUCCGAUGCUAAUUGACUUGGAUUGUUAUAUGAUGGACACGAUGUCAUAUGGUUGUAUUCGAAAAUUUGAAAAGCUAGAAGGCUUAGAGAUGUUAAGUAGUCCAAUGAAUGAGAGUUCAUUAAAAAGCUUUAUUUGCAAUUCAACUAGUUUAAAAAGACUUGCUGUCGAUUCUGUUUCAUUUAGCGAUGAAGAUAUCACAAGCAUUUUUGUGGAAAAUGAUUUCAUGGAACUAGAAGAUGUUUGGUUUACGUUGGCACCAAACUUAACGAUUACUUCUAUAGAGAUACUAAUGGAACGUUGUCCGGAACUCCAAAGUGUUGGCCAGUUGAGUGGUUGGUCCUUGACACAAGACGAUCUUGCACUUAUCCGAGGAUUGCUGAAAAGUGGAAAUUCUUGCCUUGUACUUUCUCCUACAACUUUUUUUCCCUAACUCAAAAUAACACCAAAAUGUGUGAAAACUAACGGAAUUUAGUAAUAAUAUGUGUACAUGAGUGUGCUUAAGCUUAAACGUUUAUAAGCUGAUACAAAACUUAUUAUAUUGAUGACUCUUUAUCAUAACCUUUAUAUUUAAAGAGAUUACAGUAGUUGAAAGCCUAAGGAUAUACUAUACAACCAAAAACUGGCAUGGACCAGAAUAUAAUGUGAUUAAUGAGAACAAUGUAAAGACAAUAACUAAAUAAAAUAACAGACAUUUUAU